UGGUGGAGUGAUUUGUCUGCUUAAUUGCGAUAACGAACGAGACCUUAACCUGCUAAAUAGCCAGGCUUACUUUGUAGGUCGCAGGCUUCUUAGAGGGACUAUCGGGUUCUAAACCGAUGGAAGUUUGAGGCAAUAACA
Molecule: ribosomal RNA, 138 nt
Filed under: uncultured eukaryote
Lineage: Eukaryota
Description: partial 18S ribosomal RNA
Rfam family: Eukaryotic small subunit ribosomal RNA
Source: RNAcentral